Long non-coding RNA from Carassius carassius (crucian carp), 636 nucleotides. RefSeq lists it as uncharacterized. The transcript has 2 exons. Lineage: Eukaryota; Metazoa; Chordata; Actinopteri; Cypriniformes; Cyprinidae. The record is from RefSeq and is a predicted model, not a curated record.
GAGCAAUCUUGCUGGAAGUUGUGGUUCAUGAUGGUGAUGUUGCAAUCCGCACCCUUGCCCUUACAUGCAGUUGCUUCAACAACAUCGUGUGCAUGGAAAGUUUCCGACGAGAGGCUCACUUUCGGUGGUUGGACAGUGUGGUGAACUGGAAGGCAUUUAGUGAGAACUUCAGAUCCCUGUAUACAGGAUUCCUUACUCAAUAUCCAGAUGCCUCCAGUGUGACAGCGUGUACAAGCAUUAUGGAGCAGGUUACAGAGGGAGAGGACAAAGAGGCGUGUUGCAGGGGUUUUACUCCUCUGAUGACUUCGAGGGAUAUUGUGGAAGCGACUGUUUUUAUGAGGCUGGAGCAUAGGCUGGAGAAAACAUUUAAUGUUUCAGAUUAGAUUCAAUUAUUUUCUUUUGUUAUUACUCGCCUUUUAGAAAAUAUUGUUCUUAAAAUAAGAAUUAGUUUAGUUUUGUAGCUAUGCAAUCAAUAAAGUGUUACUAACAGGUUUUUAUUUCUUGAAUAUUCAUUUAUAUACUUUUUAGUUUGUUUUUAUUACACUCAACUAAGAAUAUUGCAUUUAAAAUAAUUAUUUGUUUUAAGUGUUAUAAGUUUGUGGCUACGUGGUCAAUAAAAUUAUCCUAAUGUUUAAA